RNA transcript from Diorhabda carinulata, 2491 nucleotides. It is a transcript of the gene named inward rectifier potassium channel 2-like, with no coding region annotated. The transcript has 7 exons. NCBI's taxonomy places the organism in Eukaryota, Metazoa, Arthropoda, Insecta, Coleoptera, Chrysomelidae. The record is from RefSeq and is a predicted model, not a curated record.
CAAAAUUCUUUGGUACUGCUCAGUAGAAGGAUGUAAGGCAUUGUCCUAUACCAAUGAAGCAAAAUAAUAGCGGAUCUGUUCAUAAAUCAUGAUGAAAAGUAUUCGACAACAUGUUGCAAGAAAAGAAAUAUGACAGCGUCCAAAAUCAUUACUCAAAGGUCAGUUUCAACGAAUUUGCCGAAGAAUCUGAAGAUGACAAUCAUUAUAUAGAUCCAUUAUUAAUUUUAAAAAGAAAGAAAAUUCGAAACAAAUUGAGGACCAACAUUGGCCUAUCAAGAAUAAUAAGUAAAUAUGGCAAACUGAACAUCUUCCUCAAACAACUCUCUCACAAAAAUAUGUAUUAUAUGAGAGAUUUGGGCAAUACGCUGCUCGGAAUCAGAUGGCGCUGGAUCAUCAUUACUCUAUUUUUAGUAAACAUGGGCAGUUUUCUAUUUUUCGGAACAUUAUGGUGGAUUAUUGCUCGUAAUAGUGGGGACCUUGAACGAACGAAUGCAACAGAUCCUUGUGUAGUUAACACGAUAACAUUAACAGGCUAUUUUUUAUUGAGCGCCGAAACUAUAACAACCAUAGGAUAUGGCUAUCGAUAUCCAACAGAACGUUGCCAGUUCGGAUGGUUUAUGCAAGCCAUACAAAUUUUAUUCGGUAUGGCCGUUCAAGGUACACUUGUUGGCAUAGUUUACGUGAAAAUUACGAAGCCUAUAACUACAAAAUCAUCUUCAUUGUUUAGUAAAAGAGCAGUUAUAUGUAUGAGGGAUGGCAAAUUACGAUUCGUGUUUAGAAUCCAUGAUUUCAACAAAAAAGUUUGGUGCGGAACGAACAUAUCUCUAUAUUUUCUAGAUAAAGAGAUGGUAUCACCCGAUUCAGAAUUCGAGAUGAUACAAAUGAAGAUAGAACCGUACGGCCUGCUCAUUUUCCCCCUAGAAAUCGAACACAUAAUCAACGAAAACAGCCCAUUAUGGACGUUUCGUCCCCUCGACAUUCUAAAUUCAAGAUUUGAAAUAAUAGCCGUGGCGGAAGGGAUCUCCAACAAAACUGGUCAAGUUUCGCAGAACAGAACGUCUUAUUCGAAUUCCGAUAUUCUUUGGGGUUAUCGAUUCAUGCCGUGCGUUGCUUACGAUGAAAUGAGAGGGGGAUUCGUUGUAGAUUAUAAAAAAUUUAAACAAGUGAGAGCUUUCGAUGCACCUCUAUGUAGUGCUAAAAAACUCACAGAAACUUAUAAAAAAAUCAGCAAAAUUGAUGAGCAGUCUUAAAAGGUUAGAGUGUUUAUAAUUAUAUUAAAAAAACAAUUAAUAUUUAAUAUACCCACUACUGGAAUAUAAUUACGUUGGUAUUAAAAGCAUUGAAUAUAAUACCUUUACGAACGGCUUUAAAUCAUCCAUUUUACGUAGGAAAAGUUUUGGUUUGUUCCAGCAAACUAUAACUAGUUCAUGCGCGAUAUGCCAAUCAACGAGUUGUCAAAAUAAGAUGAUGCCCAUUUGAAAACGGCUGCCGAGGGGUAAACAAAUGAUUUUGCCAUAAGCUUCUGUGUGCAUAUUUAUCUGCUAUGUGAAGUUAUUUGUCGGUUUUUAGACAUCAUUAUUUCCAGUUUUACUGGGAUAGGCCUCCAAAAGGGUGGCUAGUUGAAGAAGUGUGAAAUUCUCUCAUGGAAACGUGGAUUUGUUGGGUUUUUUUUUUCAAGAAUGCAGUAAUGUGCCUAGUGUUGAAAUUAUUGAAGUUGGGAUUACAAAAGAGUGCCAACACGACCCGGCAUUCGCAGUUAUCAAUAUUUAUACGAGGUUGUUGGAGAGCUGUGUGGAUUUAAACGAAUACAUGUUCACUUAACGAGCGAGCAUUGCUUCUGGAGGUAAAACCUUGUAAUCUAUGAAAGUAUAUAGGGUAACUGCAAGAGAACGACUGAAGACUUGCGAUGGAUUUUUACUUACAUUUUUUUGGAAGCUACUUGGGAAUAUACUGUUACGAGUUCGUCCACGUCAUAGGCCGUGAAGCCUAUCCAAUCCGGUUAUAAUGGAAUUCUAAAAUUUGACGAAUUAGCGGUUUUUAUUACAGCGACGAUUUGUUUACAUUGUUUUUUUUUAAACUAAUUUCUAGUAAGUUUUUGUAUUCAUUUGAUUGUCUGUUUAUUUUAUAUAAUUUUGAAAAAUUUGUUUUGUAUAUAAAGGAGUUUGCUUAGCCGAGUUAGUUAGUUAAUUAAAUAGAAGUCGUAAUGAACGGAGCGACAUAGAAAAGUAGCCGGUGAAGUUAAAUAAAUUAUAAAGUUAGUUAAAUAUUAGUGAUAAAUUAAUUAUUAUAUAAGUUAGUUGAGUCUAGUGUCAGUGCUUAAAUAAUUUAAGUACGUAACAGAAUGUUUAAUAAAUACGAAAAACAUUACAAUAAGCUUGUUCGUAAGUUUAGGUCAAAGUCUACUAGCUUUUUCCUCAACGUCAUCAUAAAAAAUAUCUUUAUAAAAUUUUUUCAAAAACCUUUCAAUAAACGAAGAUUAUAACAAAAAAAA